RNAcentral lists this ribosomal RNA (537 nucleotides) under Holcocephala abdominalis. RNAcentral's name for it is "partial 16S ribosomal RNA". It matches the Rfam family "Bacterial large subunit ribosomal RNA", at positions 1809 to 2606 of the family's 2925-position model. The record is from RNAcentral. Lineage: Eukaryota; Metazoa; Arthropoda; Insecta; Diptera; Asilidae.
AAAAACAUGUUUUUUAGAAUUUAAUUUAAAAUUUGACCUGCCCAUUGAUUUAGUUAAAAGGCCGCAGUAUUUUGACUGUGCAAAGGUAGCAUAAUCAUUAGUCUUUUAAUUGAAGGCUGGAAUGAAUGGUUGGACGAGAUGUAAUCUGUUUUAUACAAAUAUUUAAAUAUAAUUUUAUUUUUCAGUGAAAAAGCUGAGAUUUAUUUAAAAGACGAGAAGACCCUAUAGAUCUUUACAAUUAUCUAUUUGUUAUUAAAUUUUUAGGUUUUGUUUUUUAUAAUAUUAAGAUUGUUUUGUUGGGGUGACAGGAAGAUUAGUUUAACUCUUUUAUUUUAUUAAAUGUACAUUAAUUAUUGAAUUUUUGAUCUUUUAUUAUGGAUUAUUAGACUAAGUUACCUUAGGGAUAACAGCGUAAUUUUACUGGAGAGUUCAUAUCGAUAGUAGAGAUUGCGACCUCGAUGUUGGAUUAAGAGAUAAAUUUGGGUGCAGAAUUUCAUAAGUUUAAGUCUGUUCGACUUUUAAUUUCUUACAUGAUCU